Molecule: ribosomal RNA, 391 nt
Filed under: Stramenopiles sp.
Lineage: Eukaryota
Description: partial small subunit ribosomal RNA
Rfam family: Eukaryotic small subunit ribosomal RNA
Source: RNAcentral
AUUCCAGCUCCAAUAGUAGAUAUCAAAAUUGUUGCAGUUGAAAAGCUCGUAGUUGAGAUUCUGGGAAGUGUCGCUACUCUAGGCUUGACGCAAGUCAUUCUAGUUGGUGAGCUUUCCAUCUUGUGGAUUCCGCGUUGUUCGUUUGUUCGGAUGACGUGCCACUCAGUUACUGAGAGCAAAUUGGAGUGCUCAAAGCAGGCUAUACAGCUUUGAACAAUUAAGCUUGGAAUAACAAUUAACGACUUGUUUGUAAUUGUUGGUUGUACAUUAACAAGUAAUGCUUGAAAGGAACAGUUGUCGGGGAUAUUCGUAUGAGCAAGUCAGAGGUGAAAUUCAAGGAUUUUGCUUAGAUGAACGACUGCGAAAGCAUCUAUCCAGCAUGUUUUCAUCG